Non-coding RNA from Podarcis lilfordi (Lilford's wall lizard), 79 nucleotides. Lineage: Eukaryota; Metazoa; Chordata; Lepidosauria; Squamata; Lacertidae. The record is from the annotation of a GenBank genome assembly.
GCCCCUGCUUAGUGGUGUAAUGGGUCAGUGCGUCUGGCUGCUAACCAGAAGGUUGGCGGUUCGAGCCCACCCAGGGAUG